AGUGAACGCUGGCGGUAGGCCUAACACAUGCAAGUCGAACGGCAGCACAGUAAGAGCUUGCUCUUACGGGUGGCGAGUGGCGGACGGGUGAGGAAUACAUCGGAAUCUACUUUUUCGUGGGGGAUAACGUAGGGAAACUUACGCUAAUACCGCAUACGACCUACGGGUGAAAGCAGGGGAUCUUCGGACCUUGCGCGAUUGAAUGAGCCGAUGUCGGAUUAGCUAGUUGGCGGGGUAAAGGCCCACCAAGGCGACGAUCCGUAGCUGGUCUGAGAGGAUGAUCAGCCACACUGGAACUGAGACACGGUCCAGACUCCUACGGGAGGCAGCAGUGGGAAAUAUUGGACAAUGAGCGCAAGCCUGAUCCAGCCAUACCGCGUGGGUGAAGAAGGCCUUCGGGUUGUAAAGCCCUUUUGUUGGGAAAGAAAAGCAGCAGGUUAAUACCCCGCUGUUCUGACGGUACCCAAAGAAUAAGCACCGGCUAACUUCGUG
RNAcentral lists this ribosomal RNA (492 nucleotides) under uncultured bacterium. RNAcentral's name for it is "partial 16S ribosomal RNA". It matches the Rfam family "Bacterial small subunit ribosomal RNA", at positions 29 to 507 of the family's 1533-position model. The record is from RNAcentral.